RNAcentral lists this ribosomal RNA (736 nucleotides) under uncultured Fusobacterium sp. RNAcentral describes it as "bacterial SSU rRNA". It matches the Rfam family "Bacterial small subunit ribosomal RNA", at positions 28 to 776 of the family's 1533-position model. Lineage: Bacteria; Fusobacteriati; Fusobacteriota; Fusobacteriia; Fusobacteriales; Fusobacteriaceae. The record is from RNAcentral.
GAUGAACGCUGACAGAAUGCUUAACACAUGCAAGUCAACUUGAAUUUGGGUUUUUAACUUUAGGUUUGGGUGGCGGACGGGUGAGUAACGCGUAAAGAACUUGCCUCACAGCUAGGGACAACAUUUGGAAACGAAUGCUAAUACCUAAUAUUAUGAUAAUAGGGCAUCCUAUAAUUAUGAAAGCUAUAAGCGCUGUGAGAGAGCUUUGCGUCCCAUUAGCUAGUUGGAGAGGUAACGGCUCACCAAGGCGAUGAUGGGUAGCCGGCCUGAGAGGGUGAUCGGCCACAAGGGGACUGAGACACGGCCCUUACUCCUACGGGAGGCAGCAGUGGGGAAUAUUGGACAAUGGACCGAGAGUCUGAUCCAGCAAUUCUGUGUGCACGAUGAAGUUUUUCGGAAUGUAAAGUGCUUUCAGUUGGGAAGAAAAAAAUGACGGUACCAACAGAAGAAGUGACGGCUAAAUACGUGCCAGCAGCCGCGGUAAUACGUAUGUCACGAGCGUUAUCCGGAUUUAUUGGGCGUAAAGCGCGUCUAGGUGGUUAUAUAAGUCUGAUGUGAAAAUGCAGGGCUCAACUCUGUAUUGCGUUGGAAACUGUAUAACUAGAGUACUGGAGAGGUAAGCGGAACUACAAGUGUAGAGGUGAAAUUCGUAGAUAUUUGUAGGAAUGCCGAUGGGGAAGCCAGCUUACUGGACAGAUACUGACGCUGAAGCGCGAAAGCGUGGGUAGCAAACAGG